This is a non-coding RNA of Tilletiopsis washingtonensis, 91 nucleotides long. Lineage: Eukaryota; Fungi; Basidiomycota; Exobasidiomycetes; Entylomatales. The record is from the annotation of a RefSeq genome assembly.
GGCACUAUGAUCGAGUGGUCUAAGAUGCAAGAUUAAGGCUACCGUCCGGCUCUUGUCCUUCGGGGCGUGGGUUCAAAUCCCACUGGUGUCA